UUUUCUUCCACUGCCUUUAAUAAUUUCCCCAAAAUUUACUUCCUCUUUUCUUAAAACAACCGAAGAAAAUAGCUCGAAAAAGUGGGAAUUUCGUGCGAUUUCUGUGUUCUUAACUUCUGGUGAAGAAAAUAGCUCCAAAAAAUUGGGGAUUUUGCUUGAUUUCUGCCUUCUUAACUUCUGAUAAAUGGUAUUUGUUUAAUACGGAGUUGAUGAGAAGCCAGUUCUAAAUAAAAGAAGGCAGCUAUUAAAUGAAGAAGUGGGGACUCAAUUUUGGAGACCCAAACUUGUUGGAUUGUUCUAAAGUUUGCAUCUUUCUGUCUUUCCAGAUGUUUUUCUUUUUCUUUUUGUGUUAAUAAGUGGUUAUGUUUUUCAAUUCUUUUGGAACUUUUAAGAUGAUGAGAGUUUGAGAAGGUGGAAGAAGCAUCUUCUUGAAAGUGUGGAUAGCAAUUCUGUUGGAGGUAAUCAUUCUUUUUUAUUUCAAGAUUUGCUACAGGAAUGAACUUUGUGGAAGCAGCUAUAGUAGAAAAAACUAAUACAUAUAUAGACAUUAAGAUUUUUUCCUCAUGAACUAGCAUGUGAAAUUUGAGAUCUUGUGCUUUUCUUGUUUAUGAUGUGGAUUACAUCACUGAUGAUAAUUGGAGGCUUAACAUAACAUACGGUAUGACACGGGAUUUUCAUAUGUACAGAAAAUAGUAUACGUACUGCUACAUACACGAUUUAUUGGACCUCGUGUUUCACAGAAGGAGGAGUGCAUUAUAGGUUCAACAAUACCGCCCCUAAGAUAUGUUUAAUACUCACUUGAUUCUUUUGUUCAAACUGCAUCAACAUUAACCGACAGAGCUCUAACAGUGUUAGAUUUACAGACAGAAAUUCGAAUUGCACUAUAAACAUAUCUUUUUCAGUUCCAUAUCUGAUUCCACACAAAAUGACAACUAAGGCAUGAGAUUCCCCAAUAAAUUGUAGGAGCGCAUAUAUGAUUACACCAAGGCUAUCCUCCAAGGAAUAUAGAACGAUGAUGAAAGAGAAGAUGUUUACUAAUAAUUUAGUACUAAAAGACACAAGGCAUUUCAAACUUGGUAGAUGCAUGAAAAAGCAACUACUCAUAGCUACGUUGUAAGAAUCACAAAGUCUCAACAACUUCAUCUAUUCAUAGUCUUGCCAUUUUACAAGAAUGUAGGCUGAUAAAUAUAAUAGAUGUAGAAAUAAGAGCUUUGUUCAACUGGUAAGAGAAUUUGUGUUAAACUAAUUGAUUAUACAGCUCGGAAAUUGAGCUUGAUUUUUCCCAUUUAGCCUUGAGAAGAUGUAAUUUGAUAAUAGUUUUCUAAAUGUCUACUUUUGUCUACUUUAUUUUAUCGUGCUUCAUGUUUUACAAUGCAGGAAGUAUCUACUUUUUGUUUGGAAUUGUUGUGCUACUAGAAAUGAAACCUUCUUUAAGUUCUCACGAUAACGGUACUGACUUUUCUUCCGCUCCCUUUUUCCCUAUUUUCCAUCUUUUAUUACAUUUUAAAAGAAGUCAUGUAGAGUUUCAGGGACUGUUGCAAUUAUGUAAAAGGUAAUUUGGAUGCCUUUCAUAUUGUUGUGAAGUAUUGAAGUUAUAAUAGCUAAUUGCACAAAAUGUUUACUUUAGUGUUUAUGGACCCUUUCAAUUUGAUGAAAGUAAUUCUUGUGUUGGAUAUAACAAAUGAAAUCAACUGCAACAUUAAUAAACUAAGUUAUUCUAACUCUCCAAAAAAAUUGUUGUAUCAUGUCGGAUUCUUUAAAAGUACACUAUUUCCAAGGAUCUGAUACGCACUCAUUCUAUUAACUUAUACUGAAGAAUUUCAACUAUCCUUGAAGACCACUGUGGUAGAAAAAGAAAAGAAAUCUUGAGGUGCAACUAUUAUUCGACACAAAAAGGAACCCUGCACAUGCAAAUAGUACAUCAAUAUUAGAGACGAACAAUUGCAAACCAAGGACAACAGCAGACCAUAAUUGUAUCUAAUUUACCAUUGUUCACUUACCAUUUCACAUUUUUAAUAAUAAGUUUAUUUUUUAGUUCUAUGGAUAAUUUUGAAAUUGUUCACUAUCUUAAUAACAAAGUCAUUUUUCACUUUUUCAAUUCUCUUCCUUUGAUUAAUAGAUGUAUCUACAAAAUAUCAUAUUUUAGGUACAACACUUCUGGCCAUAGAUCUUAACUUUCCGAUGUUCUAUUAGCUUCUUUUCAUUUGCAUUAUUUGGUAAUACAAGUGAUAAGGUAUACAAGUGGUUGGAAAAGGACCUCAAUAAUGUUGAUAAGCCAGUUACUCCAUGGCUGGUUGCCACUUGGAAUUCUCCUUGGUACUCUACUUACGCGGCAUACUAUCAAGAAGCUGAAUGUAUGAAGGUAGUGGUAGAGGUGAUGGUGAAAAUCGUGAGAAGAUGGCUAUAGAACCUGCUGAUGAGCCUAGCAAAUGUCCUGAACCAGCUAUCACACUGGACAAAUUUAUGGCCAGAUUCUGUGCCUAUAAUUUUACAUCAGGUCCAGCAGCUGGCAACUUCUGCUGGGAUCAACAACCUAAAUAUACUGCAUAUAGAGAAAAUAGCUUCGGACAUGGAAUACUCAAGAUGGCUGCUGCCAAUGGCUCAAGUGACUUAUAUUCAGAGAUGGAGGUGGAUGCAUUUAGACACCUUUUCCAUCUGCGCUAUCAUGAGCAGCAUCUUCUUAAAUAUGUCCGAACUGAUGCCUGAAAGCUUGGAAGUGCUAGAGAUAUGACACUUGCACUUGGUUUGUCUAAUCAUCAAUUCAACUUAAUUAGUUGUAUGUUUUGGAUGUAUACUUGAAGUAUUUUGCUUUGGGUAUUAUUGACGGUGUUAUUUUACAUUUAUCUUAUUUUAUUGCUAUUCCUUAUCUCAUCUUAGAUUGCUUUAUUUUGAGUCAGGGAUCUAUCGAAAAAGCCUUGCUAUCUCACUUUAAGGUAGUGGUAUGGACUGCGUACAACUACCCUCCCCAGACCCCACUUGAUGGGAAUAUACUGGGUAUGUUAAGAUUUAUUUCAAAUAGUAGAUAUAAGGAUAGAAUGAAUACGAGAUGUGGUGUUUGAGAAUAUUGAAUGAAUACGAGAUGCGAUAUUUAAGAAUAUUGACACUUGGGUCAUAAGCCCUAGGUAUAGUAUAGAAAGGAUGAAUUAAACCUGAAAUUUAGCUUCGAGGAAAAGUGACUUUCACUGUUAGCUACUAUUUGAGUGCCUAUAGUUUCCUGGCAAUGAAUGUAGACAAAAGAAACUUCUGGUAAUCAAAUUGUGCUUUCAAAUGUUAGUGUUGCCUUUGUUAUUUAUCAUUUAGCCGAACAUCUGUUCUCUGAGAUGGUUAUAAUUUUGGUGUACGUAAGGCAUCAGUACUCUUUAUUUUUAGGUCAUUGCUCUGUGCCAAGCUCCGUUUUUACUGGAUGAUCCUAAUGUUGGACUCUUAUUCCCUGCUGAUGCGAUCGCCAAGGCUAAACAUUAUCUUGCAUUGAAUUUCGGAGGUCUAGGUAUCCUUUUCUCACCUAAACUGUAUUAUUGUAUGAAUUGCGUAAUUUUAUCAUACGCUGCUCGGACCCUCCGAAAAUGCUGCCACGCUUAUGUCAGUUCUUUGAAAAAUGUAUAGCUUUUGGAGGAUCCGACACACACCUGACCGGACAGUAUCUUUGAAGAGUCGGAGCAACAUAGUGGUUAAGUGAACAUCAAAUUAUUGUUUUCAUUGUUUAUUCCCUUUGCUCUUUUAAAUUAUGGUCCCUUCUUAGGAUCUAAUCUAUCAUCUCGUGUAGAAAGCCUUCCAUUUCUCAUCCGUACUUCUUGAGCUUUAUCCGUUAGCAACUACUUAUCCACAUUGUUGUUAAAGAUCUUUCUGCCUCGACUUUCUGACAGUCCUACAAUCUUUUGUUUUGAGAAAUGAGUAACUUUAUAAAAGAUCUUUCUGCCUCGACUUUCCAACAGUCCUAUGAUCUCUUGUUUUGAAAAAUGAGUAACUUUAUUCCGCUGGUUAAUUAGGUGCUUAUAGCGACUCUCGUGGCAUUCCUGGUGUAAGCAAAGAAGUUGCGGAUUUCAUUGAGAGACGUGAUGGAUAUCCAAGUGAUCCGGAAAACAUAUUUCUCACGGAUGGUGGCAGCAAAGGAAUGAUGCAGAUCUUACAAACCAUCAUUCGAGGCCACACUGACGGGGGAACUAUAUAAAAGUUGGGACGCUGUACGGAAAAUGAGAAGAUGAGGCAAUCCUAAUAUUGGAUUUGUGUUAUACAAUAAGUGAAAUUUCUUUUGUAAUGUAUGCUAAGUUAUAAUUGUCGGGGACUCAGCUUAUCAAAGUGAAUACGAACAAUCUAACACUUCUCUUUAAAACCUCUCUCUUAACCAGGCUUAACAAGGUAAUCUUCAACUUUGUUUUGCAUGCAUAAAAUAACAUAACUUAUAUCAUAUUUAUAUUGACUCGGUUUGAUGGUA
RNA transcript from Capsicum annuum, 4432 nucleotides. It is a transcript of the gene named glutamate--glyoxylate aminotransferase 1, with no coding region annotated. NCBI's taxonomy places the organism in Eukaryota, Viridiplantae, Streptophyta, Magnoliopsida, Solanales, Solanaceae. The transcript has 5 exons. The record is from RefSeq and is a predicted model, not a curated record.